ACUCUAGCGAGACUGCCGGUGUCAAACCGGAGGAAGGUGGGGAUGACGUCAAGUCCUCAUGGCCUUUAUGCCCUGGGCUGCAAACGUGCUACAAUGGCGUAUACAGAGCGAUGCGAGGUCGCAAGGCGGAGCAAAUCGCAAAAAGUACGCCCCAGUUCGGAUUGCAGGCUGCAACUCGCCUGCAUGAAGUCGGAAUCGCUAGUAAUCGGAGAUCAGCUACGCUCCGGUGAAUACGUUCCUGAGCCUUGUACACACCGCCCGUCAAGUCAUGGAAGCCGGGAGCGCCCGAAGUCGUCGUGUUUCAGCGGCGCCAACGGCGAGUUCGGUGACUGGGACUAAGUCGUAACAAGGUAGCCGUAGGAGAACCUGCGGCUGGAUCACCUCCUUUCUAAGG
Molecule: ribosomal RNA, 394 nt
Filed under: Phycisphaeraceae bacterium
Lineage: Bacteria; Pseudomonadati; Planctomycetota; Phycisphaerae; Phycisphaerales; Phycisphaeraceae
Description: bacterial SSU rRNA
Rfam family: Bacterial small subunit ribosomal RNA
Source: RNAcentral